AGCUAACGCAUUAAGUGUACCGCCUGGGGAGUACGGUCGCAAGAUUAAAACUCAAAGGAAUAGACGGGGACCCGCACAAGCGGUGGAGCAUGUGGUUUAAUUCGAAGAUACGCGAAGAACCUUACCUGGGCUUGAUAUCCUAAGAACCUUUUAGAGAUAAGAGGGUGCUAGCUUGCUAGAACUUAGAGACAGGUGCUGCACGGCUGUCGUCAGCUCGUGUCGUGAGAUGUUGGGUUAAGUCCCGCAACGAGCGCAACCCACGUAUUUAGUUGCUAACGGUUCGGCCGAGCACUCUAAAUAGACUGCCUUCGUAAGGAGGAGGAAGGUGUGGACGACGUCAAGUCAUCAUGGCCCUUAUGCCCAGGGCGACACACGUGCUACAAUGGCAUAUACAAUGAGACGCAAUACCGCGAGGUGGAGCAAAUCUAUAAAAUAUGUCCCAGUUCGGAUUGUUCUCUGCAACUCGAGAGCAUGAAGCCGGAAUCGCUAGUAAUCGUAGAUCAGCCAUGCUACGGUGAAUACGUUCCCGGGUCUUGUACUCACCGCCCGUCACACCAUGGGAGUUGAUUUCACUCGAAGCCGGAAUACUAAACUAGUUACCGUCCACAGUGGAAUCAGCGACUGGGGUGAAGUCGUAACAAGGUAACCGUAGGAGAACCUGCGGUUGGAUCACCUCCUUUCUA
RNAcentral lists this ribosomal RNA (683 nucleotides) under Campylobacter coli. RNAcentral's name for it is "bacterial SSU rRNA". It matches the Rfam family "Bacterial small subunit ribosomal RNA", at positions 850 to 1533 of the family's 1533-position model. RNAcentral also lists the same sequence under 1 other name. Lineage: Bacteria; Pseudomonadati; Campylobacterota; Epsilonproteobacteria; Campylobacterales; Campylobacteraceae. The record is from RNAcentral.